AUACGGAGGGUGCAAGCGUUACUCGGAAUCACUGGGCGUAAAGCGCGCGCAGGCGGGCUGAUAAGUUGGAUGUGAAAGCCUACGGCCCAACCGUAGAACUGCAUCCAAAACUGUCAGUCUCGAGUCUGGGAGGGGAAGAUGGAAUUAGUUGUGUAGGGGUAAAAUCCGUAGAGAUAACUAGGAAUACCAAAAGCGAAGGCGAUCUUCUGGAACAGUACUGACGCUGAGGCGCGAAAGCGUGGGGAGCAAACAGGAUUAGAAACCCUAGUAGUCC
Molecule: ribosomal RNA, 274 nt
Filed under: uncultured bacterium
Lineage: Bacteria
Description: partial 16S ribosomal RNA
Rfam family: Bacterial small subunit ribosomal RNA
Source: RNAcentral